Molecule: ribosomal RNA, 484 nt
Filed under: uncultured bacterium
Lineage: Bacteria
Description: partial 16S ribosomal RNA
Rfam family: Bacterial small subunit ribosomal RNA
Source: RNAcentral
GACGAACGCUGGCGGCGUGCUUAACAUAUGCAAGUCGAACGAUGAACCCGGGGCUUGCUCCGGUGGAUUAGUGGCGAACGGGUGAGUAACACGUGAGUAACCUGCCCUUGACUCUGGGAUAACUGCGGGAAACUGUAGCUAAUACCGGAUACGACCCUCGGCGGCAUCGCCAGGGGGUGGAAAGAAUUUCGGUCAAGGAUGGACUCGCGGCCUAUCAGCUAGUUGGUGAGGUAACGGCUCACCAAGGCGACGACGGGUAGCCGGCCUGAGAGGGUGACCGGCUACACUGGGACUGAGACACGGCCCAGACUCCUACGGGAGGCAGCAGUGGGGAAUAUUGCACAAUGGGCGCAAGCCUGAUGCAGCAACGCCGCGUGAGGGAUGACGGCCUUCGGGUUGUAAACCUCUUUUAGUAGGGAAGAAGCGAAAGUGACGGUACCUGCAGAAAAAGCACCGGCUAACUACGUGCCAGCCGCCGCCGUAA